Molecule: ribosomal RNA, 253 nt
Filed under: uncultured bacterium
Lineage: Bacteria
Description: partial 16S ribosomal RNA
Rfam family: Bacterial small subunit ribosomal RNA
Source: RNAcentral
UACGGAGGGUGCGAGCGUUAAUCGGAAUCACUGGGCGUAAAGGGCGCGUAGGCGGCCAGGUCAGUCAGAUGUGAAAGCCCCGGGCUCAACCUGGGAAUGGCAUUUGAUACUGCCUGGCUCGAGUAUGGUAGAGGGGGGUGGAAUUCCAGGUGUAGCGGUGAAAUGCGUAGAUAUCUGGAGGAACACCGGUGGCGAAGGCGACCCCCUGGACCGAUACUGACGCUGAGGUGCGAAAGCGUGGGGAGCAAACAGG